AUAUGGGUACAGAGUACUUUUCCACAUUAAGUUUCAGUGAGUAUUUAUCUUCCAUGUAGCUGACGUUCAGUUGGCCCUUCCGGCAAAGAGAAGAAGGCGCACAGUGAAUGCAGAUAAUUCUCCCAACGCUACCAAGGAGAAAUUUGAGCAGAUCUUGAAAGUGCAAAAAGAGCAAUGGCAAAAUAUCCGCUACAGCUAUUCUCGGCAGUUCCUGACUUUCUUUGAAGAGUGGGACACGGGUGUGCGGAAAAACCGCGAAACAGCAGGAAAGACUAACUAGGAUGCUUCACGACCACCGAAGGCUUUUCCUGCAAGCUAAAAAUGUUCAAAUGGAGACGCUGACUACAGUUAAGAACCUGUAUGAGGAAUUCGUAAAGGGUAUCAACGACUUGGAGCUGAGCCAGCAAAGCCUGCUUACUGAUGAGCAAAAGAAGCUCAAAAACGAAAUUGGCAUCUUGAAGAACAAAAUUAUUGCUGCAACUGAGCAACAGCAAGAGUUGGCGAGUAUUCAACAAUCUCUGCAAGCCAUGCUGCUUCUAUGAAUCUGAAGAAGGAACUUCCACUCAAGUUCUGUCUGAAAGUCCAACGUUAGCUACACUAAUUCAAGUUCUCGCAGAUAUAAGCACAUCUUCUUUGUCACUAGUUCGUUGUGAAAUGCAAGACCAUGU
This is a non-coding RNA of Oryctolagus cuniculus (rabbit), 668 nucleotides long. NCBI's taxonomy places the organism in Eukaryota, Metazoa, Chordata, Mammalia, Lagomorpha, Leporidae. The record is from RefSeq and is a predicted model, not a curated record.